UAGGAUUUGUGGUUAGUCACCAUCUGCACUCCUCACCUCUGCCACAUACUUCCUCCCCCGCCACACCACUGACACAGCUCUGGCCCAGGUGACCACCAAUGACCUCUGUGUUGCCUGCCACACGCCAGGGAUGCUCUCCGGCCUCCACUCACUGGACUUCCCUGCCUUAGCUGCCACUGCUGAACAUGCUCCUUAAAGUGUCUCCGUGGCCUCCUCCCCUCGCUCCCCUCGGCUCACCACUGGACAUUUACUUUCCCUGGGGCACAGUUUCCUGCAUCAGUUUUGUGGUUGUAACUACCACCUAGAUAUAAAAUAGCUCCAACCACAUAUUUUCCAUCCUGAUCUCUCACCCUGCAGGAUCACACCCAGGUGCCUUCUGGACAUCUUAACUUGGGUACCCCCGAAACAUCUGCAACUCAACACCCUGAACUCUCCCUCCUCCUUCCCCACUCAGUCCCUUGGCCUGAGCCCUCUUCUGAGUGAGUGUGGGCUACCUUUGAAGGAUCCCAGUUCAGGACAAGCCGUAUUUGUCCAGCCACACCGCCACCACUGUCAUCUGAGAGAAUAACCUCAGAAGGAGCAUCCAGGGAAGACUUUCCAGGAAAAGAAGAGUCUGUCUGCCAGGUGACGGAGGAGGCUGGGUGACCAUGGCCAGCCUCACCUUGACAACACUGAUGGGCUUCCUGGACAUGUGAUAACAGGUAUAAAUGAAGAAGG
Herpailurus yagouaroundi (jaguarundi) is the source of this 717-nucleotide long non-coding RNA. RefSeq lists it as uncharacterized. The record is from RefSeq and is a predicted model, not a curated record. The transcript has 3 exons. NCBI's taxonomy places the organism in Eukaryota, Metazoa, Chordata, Mammalia, Carnivora, Felidae.